CUUGGUGCCGCCGGCAGCGGGCUGGUUUAGUGUUACCCCGCCCUCCCUGCCUGUGUCACGACAUAUCCCGGUGGAGGGCCUCGCGCCGUGACAGCUCCGCCUUUUCCCGCCUGCUCCUCCCGUGCAGCGUUAUCAUGGGGCCGUAGGCUCUCUGUGGUUAAUGGUGACACGAGUGUAUUCUCUCAUGCCAGGAACCAGGGCUUCCCCCGAGUCAUGAUUUCUUUUGAAUGCUGGCUUACAUAAGAGAAUAAGAACGGCCAUCCUGGGUCAGACCAAGGGUCCAUCUAUUUCAGUAUCCUGUCUUCUGACUGUGGCCAAUGCCAGGUGCUUCAGAGGAAAGGAAUAGAACAGCAGUGCCUACAUUUUCCACAUGGGUCCACAUUAGGCUGGGAGCUAUGUACAUGCGUAAUAAUGGACAAUCCCCGUCCUGAAGAACUUACUGUCUGAUUUGAACAAGAUACAAAAAGUGAGUUUAACAAAGGAAAGAAGGGAAGGGAGAAUGAGAGUAGAAAAAGACGAUCAUAUGGCUGGAUAGUUAAGAAAUUGCACACUUCUGGGUUCCAAAUCAUUAAAAAAAAAUCCUAAAUGAGGUAUUGUUGACUGACACACACCUAGCUACAGUGGCUGGAUGGUCUCUUCUAAGCAACACAGUAAACUGGGUCCUGAGGAAGGAUGUGAAGGAGGGAAGAGUAGUUGUCUUCAGACUAGUUCAGGAAAGGGAUUCAGGGAUAUCCUCUAUUGUGAACAAGGUCACAAAUGCAAUACUGUAUUGAUGGGGGACCAUAAAAGUACCUAAAUAAACUUAGUCCAAGGAAUAGCAGCUUCUUCCAAUUCUUGUAACUUUUUCUAGAGUAGAUGUAUGGUAAAAUGGAAAAGACCUAAUAUACUGUAUUUAGAAAUUGUUCCAUUUCAGAUUAAUUGGUCUUCUGCUUUCUUACCAGUAGAUGACUUUAUUCUGUAGAUUUCUAGCAAACACAUGAUGGGCCAAUUUUAUAUAAAAUAUGCAGAACUACAAUUCUCAAUGCUCUGGCCCAGAUGCUUAUAAACCCUGUAAUCUAAUUCCUUUUGUUAGGUGUGUCCACCAAGUAGGAACUGCAGCCUGUCUGUGUGCAAACAUUUAACAAACAAUUUGUAAACCAUUAAAGUAGUGCUUACAUGCUUGAAUAAGGAAAUGCUCAGCAAACUUGACCCUGGAUUAACAAAUAAAUUCUCGAUGAAUUUGAGAAGAGUCUUUGAGAACCUGAAUGUGUGGAAAUUUGUUUCAAAUUCUUUGGGAGUGAUCUCUGAUGGAUGUCUGUCCACAAAAGAUGUCAAGGAACCUAUGGUGAGGAAAACUCAAACAUCUAGUUCUUUGAUUUAUCUGUUUUUGUAAGAAUGUAAAAAGAAUUGUUGCCUUCCUCCAGAGAACUCAAAGUAACAAAAAUUAAGACCUUGAGGUAAUCACUAAGGUAGCAUUCCAGUUUCGGUAUUUGCCAGUGUCUGCCUAUUGGCUUUGAGCCAUCUUCUGUGAGACAGUUAAUUGCUUGAGUAAUGCUCUGACUAGUUCAGAUUUUACGUUUUGGUCUGUCAUGUGGCACUGAGAACCCUGGCCACAAAAAUAGCCAUUUGCUUGGAGACAUCACAUCUUGUCACAAUUAAACAGAACACAGUAGCAUGUUGCUGCAAUGAACUUAACAGUCUAUUAAAACAGGAAGAGAAUUUUUCGUAUGGAAAAAGAUUAGCAAUAUAGGUUGUACCAACACACUUUGACAAGUUAGCUGUUUAAAAAGCUAGGGGAAGUUCAGGGCUAGUACAAAACAGGAGUCAAAGUGCAGCGAUUCCUCAAAAUCAGAAGUGGAAAAGACCUGUUGGGCCACUUUGUUCAUCUCUCCGUGCUACUGCAGAGUGGCUCUCUGUGACAUCAAAUUCAAGGCCUGAGCUCCCAGUGCUGACAGGGGCUGGCAUCUUCUAGAGACGAGCUAUUUAGUUCCUGAAAGAGGGAGCAUUUCAAAUAAUUUUCAAAUAAACCUGAAUGGGCAAAGUUCAAUGUGAUAUUGACAGGCUACUCUAAGGAUUGUAUUCAGCUGUCCUCAGACAGACAGUGAUGCUGCAGAGCCUAUGAGGAUGACAGGUGGAAAACUGAGAUUCUGCAGGAGUUGCACAACUAAAGAACAUAGACUGCGUGCAAUAGCUCACUUUUAUAAUAUUUAGGCAGUUACCAGGUAAUUGGUAUGAUGCUACCAUAUAAGUAGUGCAGUGGUUUUUGGGUACUUGAAAUAGCUCCCCUUAGGAGCCCCAAUAAUUGGAGAAACACCUGCUCCCUCAUUAAAAUACCAAUGGUACACAGCUGCAUCUUCCUCCAGCACUCCCCAGGAUCCAAUUGUUUUGUAUAUGUACCAUUCACAGUAUUUUAAUCACAAAUGGAUUAAUCUUCAGAGCAUUCUUAUUGGGUAGUUAACUAUCCCAGUGGUUCAUUCUGUCUGUUCAGAAUUGCAAAUAUAUUCUUUAAUCUGACAACUCAGAGUCUGAGCCCCAUACUGCAAGGUGCCAAGAGUGGCCUGGAGGAUGCUGGGCACCCUCAAUGCUCAAUGUGUUAGAUAAGACUUUGGAAAGUCAGUGGGACCCUUUGUAUAUAUAUCUGUGUCCAAGUGAAUGAACAAUGGGAAUCAAAGGCCUAGAUUCCUACUGUGACUCAGGAAGCUGUUAGUGCCAACUGCAGAGAGCACAGGGGGUUCAUAGGGUUUUACAGGGAUCCCCUGGGUCAGAUAUAUGCAUAAUAGGUCACCAAAGGGUGGCAUGUGAGGGCUCUACUGAGAGACCGUAGCCCAAUGGUCAUCAUAAUUAUUGUGAAAUGUAUGUAAAAACAAUAUUUAAGGAGUGAUGUGUCUCUACUAAAAAUUACGUUCCUACGGUCUUGGAAUUAAUGCAGAUCACUAGGAGGUGACAUACCUCGGAUAUGUUCUUUUCAGGGAGGAGGUAACAGAGACUUAUAUCUCUGUCUGGUCAAGUGUGUAUUGUGCAUUGUCUGCCUCAUAAUGGAGACCUAUCUGCAGACAGCGCCAGGUGCCAUUCAAGAGACUGCAAAAUCUGCCAGAAAGAAAAUCUCCAGGAAGAAACAAAACAGCAGGGUGGUGUUCUGUUUAUGAAGAAGACAAAUAAUGGAAGUUGUAUAUCGUGGGGAGCAAAGGAACACACUAGGUCCUUCACUAAGGAGGCAAGCUAAAAGGGUGUUUGUCUUAUGAAAGGAGGCACUCAGACAGCCUGGCUGUUACACACUGCAAGGAUUUUGGAUAUUCUGCAAGACAUGGAAGUAUCAUGCUAAUAAAGUCUAGGCUGUAGGAUGCAUGUUAUAAUUUUGUUUUAUAUGUAAUAAUUUGUUUCCAAUACUUCUACUUGCUAUUACUUGAAACUCUGUGCUUUGUUCAAUAAACUUAUACUUGAUUUCACUAUAAA
Caretta caretta (loggerhead turtle) is the source of this 3432-nucleotide long non-coding RNA. RefSeq lists it as uncharacterized. The record is from RefSeq and is a predicted model, not a curated record. NCBI's taxonomy places the organism in Eukaryota, Metazoa, Chordata, Testudines, Cheloniidae.